This is a non-coding RNA of Delphinapterus leucas (beluga whale), 1948 nucleotides long. The record is from RefSeq and is a predicted model, not a curated record. Lineage: Eukaryota; Metazoa; Chordata; Mammalia; Artiodactyla; Monodontidae.
CUAUAAUCCUCUCCUUUGCUUGUCAGGUUCUGCCUCACAAAGGAGUCUUGUGGCCAAGCUCAGAAUUUACCACACAACUACUAUUGUAUGGCCUUAAGUUGCCAGCGAGAGGCAGGUGGAUUCACACUUAUUGAGCAUCUACUAUGUGAGGAUUCCGUGUUCAACACUUCAAGCCCAUUGUUUAAGAUGCAAAAAGUGGCAAAGCAUUAAAAGGCAGCCAAGGGGCUGAUCCAAGGAGCUAUCUACUUUUUCAGUGGACGAAGGCAAAGGUCUGCCUGGUAUCUGCCUCAGAGCUGACCCAAAAGAAACUUGGCAAUGGAGAUUGUUAGCUCCAUGAGGUCGAAGCUCCAUGAGCCAAAAAAUGGGAACUCUGUUCUACCAGACAAGCACCCAGACCAUCUCCUAUUGCGUGAUAAGCACCCAACAAAUAUUGAACAAAUUAACAAGAUGAGAAGCCGUAACUGGUGGCAAGAAGCCGGUCACGUAUUGCAGACGUUCUCAGGAGUCAGGGAAGGAGAGGAGAGAAUAUACUAUGAAGCCAAAUUCCAUGGAACAAAUGACCUGGGGAAUCAAUGAGACAGAUUGGGUUGUGGAAAUGCUCCAUCUGAUGCUGUAAUUGGGGAUGGACAGUCCUUCCAGUCUCCAGGUGUUUUGCAUGGUUCUUCAUCCAAACUGGGCCUCCCUGGGAAAGGGAGUGAGACAGUAAGCGCUCUAGAGCCGAAUACGCAAUCUUCGAGGUAUGCCUGUACCAUAUAGACUCUUGCCCAUGUUCCCCCCCACCCCCCCGGCUCCCCAGAGGCGGAAGAUGGGGUGUUGGGGGUGGAUGAAAUGGUGAAAGGCGUCAAAAGGUGGAAGACAUUACAAAAGGCCUAUCCGAGUUGUCUAGUAACGCAAAAACAAACAGCGUUUGGGGCCUAGAAGAGCUGUAUGCGCGACAUACAAGACCCCCAUGGACAUUAAUAGUGACCAAGGGAUCCACUUUGUCGGCCAUGAAGUUCAGGAAUGGGCCGAUAAUAAUGGCACACACCGGCAUCUCCCCCCGCCUCACAACCUCACUGCUGCUGGGCGGUGAAUGAGCUGCUUCAACAACAGCUGAGACGGGAAACCCGCUCCUUCAACGUGUGGACACAUGCCAGGAGCGAUCGGCGCAGUGCUGACGCCAUGUUAACCCAGAGGCCGCUAGUCAACGCCGUUCAGGUUCAACUGUUGACCACUGAAGGACCGUUGCCAACUGCUGGCCAGGACGAUAACUCACUUUUGCCCUCGCCACAGGCUCUACCCCCAGGGGAACACAUAACAUGGCCCUGGGACUGGCAGAGUCACUGGAUUUGCUGCCUUGCUGGCCAUCUUUACUGGAGGACCACUGCUUUUGUUCUUGACACUCCUGGGCCUGCUGGCCCCAGCUUCUCCUGGACACUGAAACAGAAAGGAAAGGAAGUCAUUAUAGUUGAUGAACAAGAAGAUGCCAGUGGCCUGAGCAGUAAUGGGGAACCAGCCUCCAGGUAAAAGAACUGCCAUUUUUGUUGCCUGUUUUGAUCACAUAUAAAUAUGAAGGAUCUGCUGUGUCUCUACAAAGCAAUGAGAGAACAAUCACCGGACUGAGCCUUUGUGAUGUGUCCUGCCAGGCACUCUGUUGUUCACAGCUACGGGAUAAAAACCGAGAACCCUGGACCAGGGCUAAGUGAAACUGAGAGAAAUCCAACACAGGAAUCUUCCCUGCAAAAAGUAAGAUUGUCCUUUAGCCUCCAUCCAAGUGACACUAGUAAUUUGAGUCCUCCAGGGAUGCGGGGUGGGCGGGGGGCAAGUUAACAGGCUGGUUUCUGAGUUGGUACCAGUCAUGAAAGCAAACAUUUUAAUUUGUGCGACAUAGUCACUGAGAGGAAUAAUAACAUGCUCUUUCUGGGGGACUGUCAAAGCCGUUCACUAGGGUGGUGCCAUUACCUAAAAA